AUGGCCCGCAGAGGGCAGCCUGGGGGGGACCUGCUUCGUGGGCAACGGGGAGAGCCAGCAGCCACGAGGCCAAGGAGGAAACGUCCGUGGAGGCUGGGCUGCCCUUCCUCGCCCCUGGGCAGGCCCUUUGCCUCCCAGCGGGGCAGGAGCAGCUCUUCGGUGCCCACGGGGAGGGCUGCAGACUUCAGCGCUGUCUACUGGAGCAACAUCACUUUCCCAAAUCUCCAGCCUGUGAACUUUUCCCUCCUGGUCCCCUUUCCACCACCUUUGGUAGGGUCUGAGAUCAGAGCCCCAAAGGCUGCUGGGCAAAGAGGGACAGCAGGGCCCCGUGGCACAGCAGCUGCACUUUGGCCUGGAGGAAAUAGUGUGCUUUUCCAGGUUUGUCCCCUGAAAUUGGGAGUCUGUAACAGAAGGACCAGUGUGAGCCGGGGAGACCGGCCUCACCGUGCUGCCUAUCCCCACGGCAGCAACAGCUUCAUCCUUCUUGAAGCCCCUUGUGCUCCCGCCAUAGCUCCGGGACCAACCCUGGCCGCAGCCUGCAAGCAUCAGCCCUGGGCGAAAGCGCGGUCCUCGCUGAUGGCGGGACAAGGUCCUUCCCCUCCCCUCCCAAGUGGACCAACAGCCCUUCUCCCUUCUGGGCCUGGGGCUGCGCGAACCCUUCUGCCUCUCGACCUCAUUUACGAUGCUCAGGAUGCUGCCAUCCCUCCUGGCUUUCCCCAUCCUGCCCUCCUCGCAGGCUUCUCUUUGGUGCCUGCAUGCGAUCCUGCCGCCGGUUCACGGGACGGGCAUCAAGGUACAAAACCAAACCCCGGGGGGUUCUGCAUGGGGCUGAGUUUAGUGAGGAGAGAGGGGGAAACUGAGGCAAGCUCAGGAAAGUCCUUUUUGCAGGGGCACGCUGGCCUGGGAGAGGCAAGCCAGGGCCUCUGGCUCUCCGCUUUUAACCACGAGGCUGUUUGCAGCGUGCCGCAGAGGCAGCCCGACAAGCCGUCUGCUCCCCCGUGCCCGCUGCGCUAG
Molecule: long non-coding RNA, 1014 nt
Filed under: Apteryx haastii (Great spotted kiwi)
Lineage: Eukaryota; Metazoa; Chordata; Aves; Apterygiformes; Apterygidae
Description: lncRNA (ENSAHAG00000004420.1)
Source: RNAcentral